Molecule: ribosomal RNA, 473 nt
Filed under: uncultured bacterium
Lineage: Bacteria
Description: bacterial SSU rRNA
Rfam family: Bacterial small subunit ribosomal RNA
Source: RNAcentral
CGCUGGCGGCGUGCCUAACACAUGCAAGUCAACUUGACUGAAGGAGCAAUCUGACAGUAGAGUGGCGCAAGGGUGCGUAACGCGUAAGUAACUUGCCCAAGGUAAGGAAUAACGUCGAGAAAUCGGCGCUAAUACCUCAUAAUGCAGCGGAUCCGCAUGGAUAUGUUGUUAAAGGUUUACCGCCUUGGGAUAGGCUUGCGUCUGAUUAGCUAGUUGGUGUGGUAACGGCACACCAAGGCUACGAUCAGUAACUGGUCUGAGAGGAUGAUCAGUCACACUGGAACUGAGACGCAGUCCAGACUCCUACGGGAGGCAGCAGUGAGGAAUAUUGGGCAAUGCUCGAAAGAGUGACCCAGCAACGCCGCGUGGAGGAUGAAGGUAUUCUAUAUCGUAAACUCCUGUGAGAGCAGACGAAAGACAGAUUAUUAAUCUGGAUGACUGUAUGCUCAGAGGAAGCCCCGGCUAACUACGUG